Molecule: ribosomal RNA, 801 nt
Filed under: [Eubacterium] infirmum
Lineage: Bacteria; Bacillati; Bacillota; Clostridia; Peptostreptococcales; Anaerovoracaceae
Description: bacterial SSU rRNA
Rfam family: Bacterial small subunit ribosomal RNA
Source: RNAcentral
AGAGUUUGAUCCUGGCUCAGGAUGAACGCUGGCGGCGUGCCUAACACAUGCAAGUCGAGCGAGAAGUAAAGAAAUGAAGCUUCGGUAGAUUUUCAUUAUGGAAAGCGGCGGACGGGUGAGUAACGCGUAGGCAACCUGCCCUGUACAGGGGGAUAGCCACCCGAAAAGGUGAUUAAUACCCCAUGAAGCAAGAGAUACACAUGUAUCACUUGUCAAAGAUUUAUCGGUAUGGGAUGGGCCUGCGUCUGAUUAGCUAGUUGGUAGGGUAACGGCUUACCAAGGCAACGAUCAGUAGCCGACCUGAGAGGGUGAUCGGCCACAUUGGAACUGAGACACGGUCCAAACUCCUACGGGAGGCAGCAGUGGGGAAUAUUGCACAAUGGGGGAAACCCUGAUGCAGCAACGCCGCGUGAAGGAAGAAGGCCUUCGGGUUGUAAACUUCUGUCCUAGGGGAAGAAACAAAUGACAUUACCCUUGGAGGAAGCCCCGGCUAACUACGUGCCAGCAGCCGCGGUAAUACGUAGGGGGCGAGCGUUAUCCGGAAUUAUUGGGCGUAAAGAGUGCGUAGGUGGCAUCUUAAGCGCAGGGUUUAAGGCAAUGGCUCAACCAUUGUUCGCCUUGCGAACUGGGGUGCUUGAGUGCAGGAGGGGAAAGUGGAAUUCCUAGUGUAGCGGUGAAAUGCGUAGAUAUUAGGAGGAACACCAGUGGCGAAGGCGACUUUCUGGACUGUUACUGACACUGAGGCACGAAAGCGUGGGGAGCAAACAGGAUUAGAUACCCUGGUAGUCCACGCCGUAAACG